GACAGAGGGUGCAAACGUUGUUCGGAAUUACUGGGCGUAAAGCGCGUGUAGGCAGCCUAGCAAGUCGGGUGUGAAAGCCCUGGGCUUAACCUAGGAAGUGCACUCGAAACUGCUGAGCUUGAGUUCUGGAGAGGAAGGCGGAAUUCUCGGUGUAGAGGUGAAAUUCGUAGAUAUCGAGAGGAACACCGGUGGCGAAGGCGGCCUUCUGGACAGUGACUGACGCUGAGACGCGAAAGCGUGGGGAGCAAACAGG
RNAcentral lists this ribosomal RNA (253 nucleotides) under uncultured bacterium. Its description in RNAcentral is "partial 16S ribosomal RNA". It matches the Rfam family "Bacterial small subunit ribosomal RNA", at positions 524 to 776 of the family's 1533-position model. The record is from RNAcentral.